UAAAAAUUGUAGACUAAUAAUGAUGAUAAUAUUAUGUUCAUCGAUAGGUGCAACUUCCAGAUCAAUAUUAUCUACAGCCACACGAGUGCAUUGUGCAUAUUAUAAUAUUAUAAUUUCGAGUGAAACGAUUCAUAUCAACAAUAUUGACUGCAGCGCAUACAUGCAUAAUAUUAUAUUAUAUAUUACGUGUAGAACAGUAGCACUGCUACCGCCACACUACAUUAUAUUUAUUACACAUUUUAGCAAAUGCUAUGACGUAUAUAAUAUUAUAGUUGUUGCAAUUUUGCAAACAGUACCUACCUACCCCCGAGGAACCGCGACCAUUAAUCGACGAGCCAUUUUGUUUCCGACCAUAAUAUUCGAUUCAUGGUUUUUGAGCGAAACAACGAUGACAAGGUGAGAAUUUUUUAUAUGACAGUUCCAAUAGAAAAUGAAUUGAUAUGGUAAUGCGUUAUUGGACAGACGACUUGUGUGUUCAGUGUACACACAUUUUUUAAUUAUUUUGUUACGCGACAGUUCCGCGUAUAUGCUGCUAUUUGAUUAUAAUAAUACAAUUUUGUUCUUCAGCAGUCAGCAUUCACCGCAGAGUAUUUGAAAAUUCAUUCGUGUAAUUUAUAUAUAAUUAUUAUUUUUUUUUUUUCAUGUUUUUCCUUUAUUUUAUUCAAUGAUAAGAUAAAGGUUUGAAAAAAAAAUGACUGGCGCGUAGUAUAUGUGAUAAACGAACCUAUUGAUCGCAGUAAUACAUUAUAUACCUUUUAUAUUAUAUUAUUAUAAAAAGAAUAUGAAAUAAUGUACAUGUUUUAUAAUGGAUCAAUAAACCAUACCCCGUAAAUAUAAUAAGUAUAUAAAAAAAUGAAUGAACAAAUUGUUUACAUUUAUUUUACACUGCAGUACCUAUACAUUAUUAUUAUAAUAAUAUUAUUAUGCUGGGAUUAUCAGAUCAAAGGCGUGUCCCGUGUUAUUUGUGACGAAAAUCUUAUAAUUUCCUGUACUACGGACAUAUGCGUUUUUAUAUUAAAUUGGUGUUCUUUAUAUUAUUUCCGAAAAAUCUCCGAUAAGAAAUCUGAAAUUUACCAUUUCAAUUGCCAAGGAUUUUGUUAUAAAAAUAUACGAUUCAAUUUUGAUAUCACGCAUAUUUUAUUAGUGACCGACUUCGUUUGUGACUACAUAUAAUAUUAUUAGGUACUUCUACUCAUAAUAAUAUAUGCAUUUGAUUUAUUACAAUAAAACAACGGUGUAAUUUGAAUGCCCCCAUACAGGCAUAUAGAGCUUCUGCGGGUAUUAAAACGGUUUAAUAAAUAAAUGACUUUCCGCAGUUACGACAUUUUCACGGUGCUUCAAUUUUUUUGUUGAAAAUCAUUCCCGGAUUGACCACUACGUCGAGAUAUCAUCGACCUACCAUAGUAAAUCUAACAGAUUCAAAUCGUCUCUCGCGUAUCAUAUAAUAUUAUAUAGUACUCGCAUAUAAUAUAGUCUCUAGUACAUGACACUAUAUCGAGUGUCAACUACCGACGGGAAUUGGUAAAUUUAUUUUUUUAUUCGAUGACGUAGGUAUAUAACCUAUGAGAGGCGCGAGCUUCACGAUAAACCGACAUCGCGAUACGCGACGUCGUCGUCUCUUAUAUCAUAUUAUUAUAAAGUCAUUCUGAACUCAAUCAAUAGUCGUUUCACGUGUGUAUAAUAAUGUUAAUUAGGUAUAUAAUAUAAUAUUAUAAUACCAUGUAUUUCGCAAUAGUCAAAUUUUCAAUUAGUUUUUUCACAUAGCGUUCUCGCGCGGGCCCGCUCGGCGAUGCACCAUCACUGUACUUACAUUAUUGUAUAUAUACACUAUACAGUACAUACAGUUGUUGGAAAACCGUUAUUUUUUUCCCAUAGUGUAUAUGAUAUAUUUUGUCGAUAAAAUCUCGCGCAGAAAACGACUCUCGGAGAAAUCGAUUUUUCCCCUCCGAUUGCCCACGGGUCGAGAAGACCGCAUCCGCCGUACGUGUCGUACUAUACUGCGUCACUGCUGCCACCGCCGCAGUUGCCACUGCUGCAGCAGGCGAGAACCGAAAACCACUUAACCGGAUUAGCUAUAUUAUUAUUAUUAUUAUUAUUAUAAAACAUACGUAUUCCCGUUGGCCGGGUGUUCCGAAACCCAAUAGCAACACACGAUGAGGACACACGGACGUCGUGUAUGCAUUAUCGUUAUCAGUAAUGUGGUUUUUUUCCUAUCGACCUUGUAUGAAGUAUAAAAAAUGAAAAAAUUUAUUUUUUAAGAACACACACACGACGCACACUCCUAAGAGCUGUAGUUGGUUAUUAAUAUUUAAUACGGUUCACAGAGAUAACAAUACUGGAUUGAUCAGUGCGUGUGAUCGUCACGGUUUUCGUCGCGUCUGCUGUGCGGAGCCAUCGCUCGCGCGGAGCGGCGAUUCGUGCCCAUAAUAUCUUCUACGUUGUUCUACGGUCGUGGCUGCGCGGCUUAUUUAACGGUGGCGUUGCGAACUACUGUGACUUUCGAACCAGGUGGUAUAACAUCAUAAUUGUUGCGUACUUUAAACCUACACUUGACCCGGUAAUGGUUCUAUCAACACACAAUUUACCAUAAGCGCAUAAAUUAUUCUAUAAUACACCAAAAAUCGUUAGUGUAAAAAUAAAUAAAUUAUUAUAAUAAACAAAUCCAGUGUAUACUCUAUUAUUAAGUCCGGACAUAAUUUUAUAGCACGCGGGCGACGGGGCGAAGAAAAAAGCGAUUUAAAUACGAAAGGCAACACGGACGUGACACGGCAGUAACAAUAGAAUUAAAUCCACAAUAUGUGCACAACUUUGGUAAAAAAAAAUUAUAAUAAUAGUGUAAAUGUGUAAGCAUGCAUAGAUGAA
Molecule: long non-coding RNA, 2862 nt
Organism: Acyrthosiphon pisum (pea aphid)
Lineage: Eukaryota; Metazoa; Arthropoda; Insecta; Hemiptera; Aphididae
Exons: 2
Source: RefSeq, a predicted model, not a curated record